GUAGUUUCCUGUAGAUUCUGUAGCUCCUCCCCUUCCUCGUCAUUCUGCCUCUGGCAAUGCUGUGCGCUGCAUGACUUAGACGACACCGCCAUCUGCUGGCUGCACGGGACACCGCACCUCAGCCAAGCCACUGCAUUAGAAUUCGACACACAAUACCCCACGAUGACGAUCCCUAAAAACCAACGCUUACCAUCCAACCUGAAGGAGUUUGAGAGGUGCUGCAAAGAGGAAUGGGCCACACUGCCCUAUGAUAGGUGUGCCAAGCUUGUGGCAUUGUAUUCAAAAAGAUUUGAGGUUGUAAUUGCUGCCAAAGGUACAUCAACAAAGUAUAGAGGUAAGGGUCUUAAUACUUACCGUAUUUUUCGAACUAUAAGUCACAGUUUUUUUCAUAGUUUUUUCGGGGGUGCGACUUAUACUCAGGAGCGACUUAUGUGUGAAAUUAUUAACACAUUACCGUAAAAUAUCAAAUAAUAUUAUUUAGCUCAUUCACGUAAGAGACUAGACGUAUAAGAUUUCAUGGGAUUUAGCGACUAGGAGUGACAGAUUGUUUGGUAAACUUAUAGCAUGUUCUAUAUGUUAUAGUUAUUUGAAUGACUCUUACCAUAAUAUGUUACGUUAACAUACCAGGCACGUUCUCAGUUGGUUAUUUAUGCCUCAUAUAACGUACACUUAUUCAGCCUGUUGUUCACUAUUUUUUAUUUUAUUUUAAAUUGCCUUUCAAAUGUCUAUUCUUGGUGUUGGGUUUUAUCAAAUAAAUUUUCCCAAAAAAUGCAACUUAUACUCCAGUGCGACUUAUAUAUGUUUUUUUUCCUUCUUUAUUAUGCAUUUUCGGCCGGGGCGACUUAUACUCCGAAAAAUACGGUAUAUACAUUUUAUUUUAAUAAAUUUGCAAAAUUUAACAAAAAAAGUUUACAUUUUAAUUAUGGGGUAUUGUCUGUAGAAUUUUGAGUGCAACACAUGCAUUUAACCAGUGGCGGGCCGUGCGUUUCCCACCUAGGCCUUCAGUGAUGUCCUGUGUCCAAUGAUCAAUGAUCUCAAAAUACCAUCAUUUAGGUCACCACAUGACCAUUGCUGGAGAAAUACUAUUCAGGAACACAUUUACGCCCUACUGGACAUUGACUCACAUCAACACCGUACAAAACUGGUUAUUUUCUGGCGCAUUUAAAAAUCAAUUAACCCGUAUCAGCAAUUAAAACAUAUCUUAUGUGGUACUGUCAAAAUUAAAAUUGCAAAAAACAUGUUAAACGAGAAAAAAAUUAAGAAAUAAAAUAUCUGAACUCACAUUUAGGGAUGAUGUUUGAUAAGGAAUUAUCGAGUUCGAGUCUAUUAUCGAAUCCUCUUAUCGAACCGAUUCCUUAUCGAUUCUCUUAUCGAGUCCAGAUAGGUUGUUGUAUAUGGAAAAAAACACACAAUAUUUGGUUUAACAAAAGCUCACUUUUAUUAUAUAAUAAAAAAAAUAAAAUCUAAUAAAUAAAUAAAUAUUGACUGUUAGCCACCUAAAAAAAUAAAAUAAAUAAAUAUUGACUGUUGUUACCCAAAGUAUAUUAAGUGGGAUUUUUCAGAGAAACAAAUAUAUACAGUAACACAAAAACAACCUGUCUCUGUGAUCACUAUAGUUAAAGUUAAGUUAAAGUUAAAGUACCAAUGAUUGUCACACACACACUAGGUGUGGUGAAAUUUGUCCUCUGCAUUUGACCCAUCCCCUUGAGGAGCAGUGGGCAGCAGCGGCGCCGAGGUGUAUAAAUAAUAAUAUAGUGUUAAAUAAAAUCAGUCCCUUGGGCACAAAACUGAA
Molecule: long non-coding RNA, 1792 nt
Organism: Entelurus aequoreus (snake pipefish)
Lineage: Eukaryota; Metazoa; Chordata; Actinopteri; Syngnathiformes; Syngnathidae
Exons: 3
Source: RefSeq, a predicted model, not a curated record